Molecule: long non-coding RNA, 671 nt
Organism: Amphibalanus amphitrite
Lineage: Eukaryota; Metazoa; Arthropoda; Thecostraca; Balanomorpha; Balanidae
Exons: 2
Source: RefSeq, a predicted model, not a curated record
GUGGCGGGUUAUCCUUUAAUUAAGUGUAAGAUACGUCCGGGUUAAUCACUCAAGUGCGGGUAGAACCAUGCGAGUAGAUAGGGUACCUGCUUGCGAUAUCUGGAAAGAACAGAUAAAUCCGCGCUGACAGGGGCUUGAUACACUUUUUACGUGUAGUUGCUAGCCGACGGUGGCGGAUAGCGGGGAAAAUCCGGGACUGAUAGGUAUCGGUUACUCUCGCCAGGCGGAUUCAUUAUAUAUGUAUAGCGCGGAUAAGUGUCACGUACUCCCUCACACCGGGUUGUCAAGUUUGCCUGGUGGAUUCAUUCACCCGCCAACUGCGGAUACACUUCCCGCGCAUGCGCGUUGCCGGCGGUGCACCUCCGGCAACGAAUCUCGUGCGACGCCAUCUUCCUGACUGUGUUGACGGCGCUGUGGUUUGGCUGUGGUACUGCGUCUGCUGUGGACUUCUGGCUGCUGAAUUUCGCGGAUAGAGGCGUACGAAUCGAAAUGGGAGGUUUCGACCACUGAAAGCCAAGUGGAGAGACGUUGACAGACACAAAACGACCGGUGGAGGAGUGGUGCAUGGCGCAAGGCACCGGGGCCUUAUGACCUUAACUCAUAUUUAGCUCGUAUAAUUCAUGUGUGUGGAUAUUGUUGUACGUCUAACUAAAUAAAUAAAUAAGACCAUA